GCCUCGGUAGCGUAGUGGUCAAGACGCUCGCCUGGUAAACAGGUGGGCGUGGGUUCGAUCCCAGCCGAGGUA
RNAcentral lists this transfer RNA (72 nucleotides) under Diaphorina citri (Asian citrus psyllid). It matches the Rfam family "tRNA". Rfam says of the family: Transfer RNA (tRNA) molecules are approximately 80 nucleotides in length. Their secondary structure includes four short double-helical elements and three loops (D, anti-codon, and T loops). The record is from Rfam by way of RNAcentral. Lineage: Eukaryota; Metazoa; Arthropoda; Insecta; Hemiptera; Psyllidae.